GAUGAACGCGGGCGGCGUGCCUAAUACAUGCAAGUAGAACGCUGAAGCUUGGUGCUUGCACCGAGCGGAAGAGUUGCGAACGGGUGAGUAACGCGUAGGUAACCUGCCUCUUAGCGGCGGAUAACUAUUGGAAACGAUAGCUAAUACCGCAUAAAAGUCGACAUUGCAUGAUGUUGACUUGAAGGGUGCAAAUGCAUCACUAAGAGAUGGACCUGCGUUGUAUUAGCUAGUUGGUGAGGUAACGGCUCACCAAGGCGACGAUACAUAGCCGACCUGAGAGGGUGAUCGGCCACACUGGGACUGAGACACGGCCCAGACUCCUACGGGAGGCAGCAGUAGGGAAUCUUCGGCAAUGGACGGAAGUCUGACCGAGCAACGCCGCGUGAGUGAAGAAGGUUUUCGGAUCGUAAAGCUCUGUUGUAAGAGAAGAACGAGUGUGAGAGUGGAAAGUUCACACUGUGACGGUAACUUACCAGAAAGGGACAGCUAACUACGUGCCAGCAGCCGCGGUAAUACGUAGGUCCCGAGCGUUAUCCGGAUUUAUUGGGCGUAAAGCGAGCGCAGGCGGUUAGAUAAGUCUGAAGUUAAAGGCUGUGGCUUAACCAUAGUACGCUUUGGAAACUGUUUAACUUGAGUGCAGAAGGGGAGAGUGGAAUUCCAUGUGUAGCGGUGAAAUGCGUAGAUAUAUGGAGGAACACCGGUGGCGAAAGCGGCUCUCUGGUCUGUAACUGACGCUGAGGCUCGAAAGCGUGGGGAGCAAACAGG
Molecule: ribosomal RNA, 765 nt
Filed under: uncultured Streptococcus sp.
Lineage: Bacteria; Bacillati; Bacillota; Bacilli; Lactobacillales; Streptococcaceae
Description: bacterial SSU rRNA
Rfam family: Bacterial small subunit ribosomal RNA
Source: RNAcentral